RNAcentral lists this long non-coding RNA (365 nucleotides) under Mytilus galloprovincialis (Mediterranean mussel). Lineage: Eukaryota; Metazoa; Mollusca; Bivalvia; Mytilida; Mytilidae. The record is from RNAcentral.
UAAGGACAUCAUAUAAUUUAUCAUAUAUUUAGUACAAAAUACAGCUAUUUUGUAUAUCUAAUAAAGGUUGUUUUUCCAGUCUGUAUCACCUACCCUGUAUCGCAUACCCCGUAUCGCAUAGCUAAACCCGUAUCGCAUACCCCGUAUCGCAUGGUAAAACCCGUAUCGCAUACCUUUUUUUUUUUUUUUUUUUUUUUACAUAAAGUUUUUUGUUUUUUUUUUGCUUAAGAAAAAAUUUCCUCAAAAUAGGUCAUUUUUUAAUGACGUCAUUGUUUAGUAUGUAACGUCACGAACGUCAAGUUUUCAUAUUGUAUGUGACGUCACGAACAUCAAGUUUGCAUAUUUUUUGGCACACUAAAUGCAAC